UUAAUAUUGAGAACCAGAAAAAGUUGAAGAAUCCUCACACUGCUGGAAAAAGAAGUUUUGCUUUAGUACGCUCUAAGUUGGAAAACGAGAAGGAAACUUCGGAUCCUUUAUCGGCAAAAGAAGUCUUUGUAGCUACAAGUAAAAGGAAAGUUGGGCGAUCAUACAAGUGCUCAGAUGAUGAUACAACUAGUAAAAUUGCUGAAAUGGUGGCAAUUGAAGCCCAACAAAA
Nicotiana attenuata is the source of this 229-nucleotide long non-coding RNA. RefSeq lists it as uncharacterized. NCBI's taxonomy places the organism in Eukaryota, Viridiplantae, Streptophyta, Magnoliopsida, Solanales, Solanaceae. The transcript has 3 exons. The record is from RefSeq and is a predicted model, not a curated record.